UUGAACGCUGGCGGCAGGCCUAACACAUGCCAGUCGAGCGGAUGAAGGGAGCUUGCUCCUGGAUUCAGCGGCGGACGGGUGAGUAAUGCCUAGGAAUCUGCCUGGUAGUGGGGGAUAACGUCCGGAAACGGGCGCUAAUACCGCAUACGUCCUGAGGGAGAAAGUGGGGGAUCUUCGGACCUCACGCUAUCAGAUGAGCCUAGGUCGGAUUAGCUAGUUGGUGGGGUAAAGGCCUACCAAGGCGGCGAUCCGUAACUGGUCUGAGAGGAUGAUCAGUCACACUGGAACUGAGACACGGUCCAGACUCCUACGGGAGGCAGCAGUGGGGAAUAUUGGACAAUGGGCGAAAGCCUGAUCCAGCCAUGCCGCGUGUGUGAAGAAGGUCUUCGGAUUGUAAAGCACUUUAAGUUGGGAGGAAGGGCAGUAAGUUAAUACCUUGCUGUUUUGACGUUACCAACAGAAUAAGCACCGGCUAACUUCGUG
Molecule: ribosomal RNA, 483 nt
Filed under: uncultured bacterium
Lineage: Bacteria
Description: partial 16S ribosomal RNA
Rfam family: Bacterial small subunit ribosomal RNA
Source: RNAcentral